Molecule: ribosomal RNA, 547 nt
Filed under: Salmonella enterica
Lineage: Bacteria; Pseudomonadati; Pseudomonadota; Gammaproteobacteria; Enterobacterales; Enterobacteriaceae
Also listed under: 2 other names
Description: partial 23S ribosomal RNA
Rfam family: Bacterial large subunit ribosomal RNA
Source: RNAcentral
GGGUUGUGAGGUUAAGCGACUAAGCGUACACGGUGGAUGCCCUGGCAGUCAGAGGCGAUGAAGGGCGUGCUAAUCUGCGAUAAGCGCCGGUAAGGUGAUAUGAACCGUUAUAACCGGCGAUACCCGAAUGGGGAAACCCAGUGUGACUCGUCACACUAUCAUUAACUGAAUCCAUAGGUUAAUGAGGCGAACCGGGGGAACUGAAACAUCUAAGUACCCCGAGGAAAAGAAAUCAACCGAGAUUCCCCCAGUAGCGGCGAGCGAACGGGGAGGAGCCCAGAGCCUGAAUCAGCAUGUGUGUUAGUGGAAGCGUCUGGAAAGGCGCGCGAUACAGGGUGACAGCCCCGUACACAAAAGCGCAUGUGCUGUGAGCUCGAUGAGUAGGGCGGGACACGUGGUAUCCUGUCUGAAUAUGGGGGGACCAUCCUCCAAGGCUAAAUACUCCUGACUGACCGAUAGUGAACCAGUACCGUGAGGGAAAGGCGAAAAGAACCCCGGCGAGGGGAGUGAAAAAGAACCUGAAACCGUGUACGUACAAGCAGUGGGA